This is a long non-coding RNA of Cannabis sativa, 356 nucleotides long. RefSeq lists it as uncharacterized. The transcript has 2 exons. NCBI's taxonomy places the organism in Eukaryota, Viridiplantae, Streptophyta, Magnoliopsida, Rosales, Cannabaceae. The record is from RefSeq and is a predicted model, not a curated record.
AUUGUAUAUGUAUAAAUAUAAAAGAAAGAGAUAAGAUUAAGAGAGAAGAGAAGAACACAUUGUUCUCUUUCGAUAAAACCAAAACAAUACCAUAUUAUGUUAAACGUGUUAGUAAUAAGGAAAUAUCAUAACUGGUACAAAAUAGAUUUUUAUUUAUUUAUAUUCCUAAUUGUGUAAUAUGACCAUUAUACCCUCUUUCUCUCACCACAUAAAGAAAAGGCUAAAGCUGCACCACAGUAAUUUCAUCUAGGGACGCUACACAGACAGAGACAACACAAUAUCAUGCCAAAAACACAAACUUGCAAGAAAAAACCUUCUUCCUUUAUUAUAUCUUUAUGGAAAUUUCUCAUUUUGGU